GCAUAACUCAAUGGGUAGAGUGCUUGCCUAGCAGGCAUGAGGUCCUGGGUUCAAUCCCCAUCAUUGCA
RNAcentral lists this transfer RNA (68 nucleotides) under Mesocricetus auratus (golden hamster). It matches the Rfam family "tRNA". From Rfam's summary of the family: Transfer RNA (tRNA) molecules are approximately 80 nucleotides in length. Lineage: Eukaryota; Metazoa; Chordata; Mammalia; Rodentia; Cricetidae. The record is from Rfam by way of RNAcentral.